CGGUGGAGCAUGUGGUUAAUUCGAAGCAACGCGAAGAACCUUACCAGGCCUUGACAUGCAGAGAACUUUCCAGAGAUGGAUUGGUGCCUUCGGGAACUCUGACACAGGUGCUGCAUGGCUGUCGUCAGCUCGUGUCGUGAGAUGUUGGGUUAAGUCCCGUAACGAGCGCAACCCUUGUCCUUAGUUACCAGCACGUUAUGGUGGGCACUCUAAGGAGACUGCCGGUGACAAACCGGAGGAGGGUGGGGAUGGCGUCAAGUCAUCAUGGCCCUUACGGCCUGGGCUACACACGUGCUACAAUGGUCGGUACAAAGGGUUGCCAAGCCGCGAGGUGGAGCUAAUCCCAUAAAACCGAUCGUAGUCCGGAUCGCAGUCUGCAACUCGACUGCGUGAAGUCGGAAUCGCUAGUAAUCGUGAAUCAGAAUGUCACGGUGAAUACGUUCCCGGGCCUU
RNAcentral lists this ribosomal RNA (452 nucleotides) under uncultured Pseudomonas sp. RNAcentral describes it as "bacterial SSU rRNA". It matches the Rfam family "Bacterial small subunit ribosomal RNA", at positions 930 to 1382 of the family's 1533-position model. The record is from RNAcentral. Lineage: Bacteria; Pseudomonadati; Pseudomonadota; Gammaproteobacteria; Pseudomonadales; Pseudomonadaceae.